This 497-nucleotide ribosomal RNA is filed under the name uncultured bacterium. RNAcentral's name for it is "partial 16S ribosomal RNA". It matches the Rfam family "Bacterial small subunit ribosomal RNA", at positions 28 to 507 of the family's 1533-position model. The record is from RNAcentral.
GAUGAACGCUGGCGGCGUGCCUAAUACAUGCAAGUCGAGCGAACAGACGAGGAGCUUGCUCCUCUGACGUUAGCGGCGGACGGGUGAGUAACACGUGGAUAACCUACCUAUAAGACUGGGAUAACUUCGGGAAACCGGAGCUAAUACCGGAUAAUAUAUUGAACCGCAUGGUUCAAUAGUGAAAGACGGUUUUGCUGUCACUUAUAGAUGGAUCCGCGCCGCAUUAGCUAGUUGGUAAGGUAACGGCUUACCAAGGCAACGAUGCGUAGCCGACCUGAGAGCGUGGUCGGCCAGCCUGGAAGUGAGGCUCGGUCCAGACACUUACGGUGGGACGCAGCCGAGAAUCCUACGCAAAGGGGGAGAGCCUGACGGAGCACCGUGGCGUAAGGGCUGAUGGACCUCUGCCCGUAAAGCUAUGUUAUCCGGGGAGAACUAAUGUUCAAGUAACUAUGCACGUAUUGACGGUACCUGGUCAGAAAGCCCCGGCUAACUACGUG